ACCCCUGUGGUCCCCACGGUAGAGCUGCUCGCGCAUCACCUCUUCGCUCCUCUCUUCGGAAGCUCACCACUGAAGCUCCCUUCCCCACCUCAAUCCAAACACAGAAUAUCACCUGCAUCGCCUCUGUGAAUUCCCUGAACUUGCCUGCUUGACUGAACUAUAGAACUCCUGAAGACUGCCCUAAAUGAUUACUGCUUGAAUCUCCUCUCUUCGGAAGCUCACCACUGAAGCUCCCUUCCCCACCUCAAUCCAAACACAGAAUAUCACCUG
Protopterus annectens (West African lungfish) is the source of this 270-nucleotide long non-coding RNA. RefSeq lists it as uncharacterized. The transcript has 3 exons. NCBI's taxonomy places the organism in Eukaryota, Metazoa, Chordata, Ceratodontiformes, Protopteridae. The record is from RefSeq and is a predicted model, not a curated record.